RNAcentral lists this long non-coding RNA (266 nucleotides) under Lathyrus oleraceus (garden pea). Its description in RNAcentral is "Pisum sativum (pea) long non-coding RNA (PSAT_LNC029666)". The record is from RNAcentral. Lineage: Eukaryota; Viridiplantae; Streptophyta; Magnoliopsida; Fabales; Fabaceae.
CCUUUUCUCUUUAAGAUAAUAUAAUUGUGCAUUUGUGUGUUGCUUGAUUCUAAAAGUCCAAGGGAAUUCUGGGUUUCUAUUAACAUUCUUGUCUAUUGGAUUGCUACCCAUUUGGUCAGAUCUUUUCAACUCUCAACUUAAAUUGUGCAUUUGUGUGUUGCUUGAUUCUAAAAGUCCAAGGGAAUUCUGGGUUUCUAUUAACAUUCUUGUCUAUUGGAUUGCUACCCAUUUGGUCAGAUCUUUUCAACUCUCAACUUUUAAUUUUG